This 253-nucleotide ribosomal RNA is filed under the name uncultured bacterium. Its description in RNAcentral is "partial 16S ribosomal RNA". It matches the Rfam family "Bacterial small subunit ribosomal RNA", at positions 524 to 776 of the family's 1533-position model. The record is from RNAcentral.
GACGAACCGUGCGAACGUUAUUCGGAAUCACUGGGCUUAAAGAGCGUGUAGGCGGCCAGAUAGGUCAGCUGUGAAAACUCGAGGCUCAACCUCGAGACGUCGGUUGAAACCAUCUGGCUAGAGUCCGGAAGAGGAGAGUGGAAUUCCCGGUGUAGCGGUGAAAUGCGCAGAUAUCGGGAAGAACACCCGUGGCGAAGGCGGCUCUCUGGGACGGUACUGACGCUGAGACGCGAAAGCGUGGGGAGCGAACAGG